CCAAUAGCGUAUAUUAGUGUUGUUGCGGUUAAAAAGCUCGUAGUUGAAUUUCGGGAUUGGGAUAUAUCGGUCGUGCCUUUAGGGGCAUGAAACGGUGUGUAGCCAAUUUCUCACCUUCUGGUGAGUCGGGAUGCUCUUGGGUGUUUCGAUGAACCAGGACAUUUACUUUGAAAAAAUUAGAGUGUUUAAAGCGGGCAUUUUUGCUUGAAUACAUUAGCAUGGAAUAAUAAAAUAGGACGAUGGUUCUAUUUUGUUGGUUUUAGGACUACGUAAUGAUUAAUAGGGAUAGUUGGGGGCAUUAGUAUUCAAUUGUCAGAGGUGAAAUUCUUGGAUUUAUUGAGGACUAACUACUGCGAAAGCAUUUGCCAAGGAUGUUUUCAUUAAUCAAGAACGAAAGUUAGGGGAUCAAAGACGAUUUAUGUACGUCGUAGUCUUAACCAUAAACUAUGCCGACUAGGAAUCAGACAAAGUUCAUUUUUUAACGACUUGUUUGGUACCUUACG
Molecule: unclassified non-coding RNA, 503 nt
Filed under: uncultured Glomeromycotina
Lineage: Eukaryota; Fungi; Glomeromycota
Also listed under: 1 other name
Description: SSU rRNA
Rfam family: Eukaryotic small subunit ribosomal RNA
Source: RNAcentral